Molecule: ribosomal RNA, 388 nt
Filed under: Crustomastigaceae sp.
Lineage: Eukaryota; Viridiplantae; Chlorophyta; Mamiellophyceae; Dolichomastigales; Crustomastigaceae
Description: partial small subunit ribosomal RNA
Rfam family: Eukaryotic small subunit ribosomal RNA
Source: RNAcentral
AUUCCAGCUCCAAUAGCGUAUAUUUAAGUUGUUGCAGUUAAAAAGCUCGUAGUUGGAUUUCGGGUGUCAUCUGCCGGUCCGCCGUUUCGGUGUGCACUGGCGGGCGUCAUCUUUCUGUCGAGGACGCGCUCCUGUCCUUCACUGGUCGGGACGCGGAGUCGGCGAGGUUACUUUGAAAAAAUUAGAGUGUUCAAAGCGGGCUUACGCUUGAAUAUAUUAGCAUGGAAUAACACUAUAGGACUCCUGUCCUAUUUUGUUGGUCUUCGGGACGGGAGUAAUGAUUAAGAGGAACAGUUGGGGGCAUUCGUAUUUCAUUGUCAGAGGUGAAAUUCUUGGAUUUAUGAAAGACGAACUUCUGCGAAAGCAUUUGCCAAGGAUGUUUUCAUUG